RNAcentral lists this long non-coding RNA (316 nucleotides) under Zalophus californianus (California sea lion). Its description in RNAcentral is "lncRNA (ENSZCAG00015006219.1)". Lineage: Eukaryota; Metazoa; Chordata; Mammalia; Carnivora; Otariidae. The record is from RNAcentral.
UCCUUGAUUUCCUAUGAAAUAUCCCUGCCCCCACUCUCUCCCAUUCUCCUCCUGAGCCAGCAGAGUAACCCUACCCAUUUUUUGCCUUUUCAGGUAGUCAGACCUGUCCUGACAGCUGGAGGCCUACGUGAGGGGUGGCCACAGAAGGAGGAGGUCUCAGAGGCCACAGAAACUGAGGAAUCUGAACACAUGAGCUCCGGAGUCCCAGGAGUCUCCUGGUGAAGGAAGAAUCUAAAGAGAUGCCUAAGUUCCAGGGAAUUUUCCUCUAAAACAAAAAACAUCAAGAUAGCUUUGAUUUUAUUUAUGUCCAUUAUCU